UUUUAUUAAUAGGUAUAGAUAUGAUCCGACCAUAUUGUUUUCUAUACACCCUGACAUAAUAUAAGGUAGUUGCUCCCAACUUUUACAAAAAGAACUCUCGAAGGAAUACAUAAAACAUUGUGGUCAUCAGUUGAUCAAGCUCUCCCCGCCAAAGACCAGAUCUCAUGCUCUUGUCGCGACAUCAUGAAGAUGUCACAAUGGCUCAUGGGUGGACAAUAGAGCCGCGAAUGCCAAUGCGGGUUGUCCAACAAUUUUGAGCUGCAACGCAAUGCAAAGGCUAGGGUCUCUACGUUUUCUCUCUCUGGCCACAUGUUUUGGUCUUCCACCCCAAUUUUGCUGUAGCUGGAAAGGAAAAAA
This 357-nucleotide long non-coding RNA is filed under the name Hordeum vulgare. RNAcentral's name for it is "long non-coding RNA (HVUL_LNC001602)". The record is from RNAcentral. Lineage: Eukaryota; Viridiplantae; Streptophyta; Magnoliopsida; Poales; Poaceae.